This 1419-nucleotide ribosomal RNA is filed under the name uncultured bacterium. RNAcentral's name for it is "16S ribosomal RNA". It matches the Rfam family "Bacterial small subunit ribosomal RNA". The record is from RNAcentral.
AGAGUUUGAUCCUGGCUCAGGACGAACGCUGGCGGCGUGCCUAAUACAUGCAAGUCGAACGCUUCUUUUUCCACCGGAGCUUGCUCCACCGGAAAAAGAGGAGUGGCGAACGGGUGAGUAACACGUGGGUAACCUGCCCAUCAGAAGGGGAUAACACUUGGAAACAGGUGCUAAUACCGUAUAACAAUCGAAACCGCAUGGUUUUGAUUUGAAAGGCGCUUUCGGGUGUCGCUGAUGGAUGGACCCGCGGUGCAUUAGCUAGUUGGUGAGGUAACGGCUCACCAAGGCGACGAUGCAUAGCCGACCUGAGAGGGUGAUCGGCCACAUUGGGACUGAGACACGGCCCAAACUCCUACGGGAGGCAGCAGUAGGGAAUCUUCGGCAAUGGACGAAAGUCUGACCGAGCAACGCCGCGUGAGUGAAGAAGGUUUUCGGAUCGUAAAACUCUGUUGUUAGAGAAGAACAAGGAUGAGAGUAACUGUUCAUCCCUUGACGGUAUCUAACCAGAAAGCCACGGCUAACUACGUGCCAGCAGCCGCGGUAAUACGUAGGUGGCAAGCGUUGUCCGGAUUUAUUGGGCGUAAAGCGAGCGCAGGCGGUUUCUUAAGUCUGAUGUGAAAGCCCCCGGCUCAACCGGGGAGGGUCAUUGGAAACUGGGAGACUUGAGUGCAGAAGAGGAGAGUGGAAUUCCAUGUGUAGCGGUGAAAUGCGUAGAUAUAUGGAGGAACACCAGUGGCGAAGGCGGCUCUCUGGUCUGUAACUGACGCUGAGGCUCGAAAGCGUGGGGAGCAAACAGGAUUAGAUACCCUGGUAGUCCACGCCGUAAACGAUGAGUGCUAAGUGUUGGAGGGUUUCCGCCCUUCAGUGCUGCAGCUAACGCAUUAAGCACUCCGCCUGGGGAGUACGACCGCAAGGUUGAAACUCAAAGGAAUUGACGGGGGCCCGCACAAGCGGUGGAGCAUGUGGUUUAAUUCGAAGCAACGCGAAGAACCUUACCAGGUCUUGACAUCCUUUGACCACUCUAGAGAUAGAGCUUCCCCUUCGGGGGCAAAGUGACAGGUGGUGCAUGGUUGUCGUCAGCUCGUGUCGUGAGAUGUUGGGUUAAGUCCCGCAACGAGCGCAACCCUUAUUGUUAGUUGCCAUCAUUUAGUUGGGCACUCUAGCAAGACUGCCGGUGACAAACCGGAGGAAGGUGGGGAUGACGUCAAAUCAUCAUGCCCCUUAUGACCUGGGCUACACACGUGCUACAAUGGGAAGUACAACGAGUCGCAAAGUCGCGAGGCUAAGCUAAUCUCUUAAAGCUUCUCUCAGUUCGGAUUGUAGGCUGCAACUCGCCUACAUGAAGCCGGAAUCGCUAGUAAUCGCGGAUCAGCACGCCGCGGUGAAUACGUUCCCGGGCCUUGCACACACCGCCCGUCA